Long non-coding RNA from Neofelis nebulosa (Clouded leopard), 1288 nucleotides. RefSeq lists it as uncharacterized. The transcript is spliced from 5 exons. Lineage: Eukaryota; Metazoa; Chordata; Mammalia; Carnivora; Felidae. The record is from RefSeq and is a predicted model, not a curated record.
GCCGGGUGUAGCAGUUUCCUGCGGCAGUGGCUGCUGUCCCAAAUAGUUCCGAACGAUUAGGAGGCUUGCCGCACCCUCUCGCGCCGUCCCCUCUGACCCUGCCGGCGACAGGCCCGGCUCCCCGGGUGAGUCCCUGCGGGGCCGCGAUGCACAGGAAACCCCCCGCGGCCUCCCAAGGCCGGUGCAUCAUCCACCCCCCCCCACCCCCGACAGGAGGAGAAACUGAGGCCCGGGGGGACGGGGAGAGCCGGCGGAGGUCAGCGCCGAUUUCAGGCCCCGCUCCUGGGUCCGGGCCCAGCCCCUCCGCCGGCUGCGGACCUCUCGGGAUGCGUGUCCCCGAGAAUGGGACUCCUGGUCUGAUCCCCUGCGCGCGGGGAAGACUCGUGUCCCGCCAACUACCAGAAGCGGGUCCGGCGACGCGCGGGCCGAGUGCCGCCGCCAGUAGUGCGGAGCCCCGUGUGGCCCCGGGCCUGAAGAGCUCCCGGGGCCGCGUGAUUUUCACGCACACACCCACCUCCGGCUCUGGGCCUCGAAUCCCCCAAAGCGCUUCAUCGGUUGCCCACGAAGUGACCGUGCGUUGCGGGCUCCGGGGCUCUGUUGGAAGCAGAUGGAAACUCUCCGUUGGACGGCUUUGGGGGCUGUGCGUCAGGCAGCGCCCCCUUCUUUGCUGCAGGACCCUGCGCCGCAGCGCCGGAUGUGCCCCCGCGGUGUCCAGGGGGUGAGGCCUGGAUGAGCCCACUGUGUGGAGAGACAUCAUGGGAGUUCUAUCAGGAACAUUCUAGACCCCAGUGUCCUUGAGGGAUGCUGCCUCGGAUCUAGAGAUUGUUGGAAGAUUCCUUAAGGAGGUGGAGCAUUGGUCCUCUCAGGAUGACCUGGGUCCCAGCUGCCCUGGAGGGACCUCUUCAUGAUUAUUUCGGAGUUGAUCAUGGACACUGGCAGAGUGAGUGAAGAAUGAUGUCGCCACGUGAACCAUGGCCAGACCUUCUUAUCCUGUUGCCUCAGCACAGCCUGGAGGGACUUUUCUCUCUGCGUGAGCAGGCCAGAGGGAAAGUCCUGGGACCCUGGAGACUUGAGGUCCAGAGCUACAGACUUCAGCUGGCUCUGCUGCUCCCCCAGCAGGUGUCACACAGCACCUGGGACCAGGAAGACCGGUUCCCUUCCACCUGAGCCAGGUGUCCAGCAGGCUCCACGUCCCCCUGCCUAUUCCUCCUGUAACUUUUUACAACCAAGAGUUUUCUGCACUGUGCAUCCUUGUCCCCUCACCCACCCAAUAAAUCUUGAAACUGCC